CAGCAACUGUAACUCCAAUUCGACCCCUAGCCUGGGAACUUCCAUGUGCUGCGAAUGAGCUCAGGUUGGGCUCUAUAUGACCGAGGAAGGAAAGGAGGUGGUCAGCUCAGUGCUGCCAAGAGAGGCCUCUGGGCCCCGGGAGAGCUGAGAGCAAAGAGGAGCUGCUCAUGUCAGAAUCUACUGAACUUCGGCAGCAGGAGGCUCAGGAUGGGACGCCCCUCCCUGAAGCGUCUGCAGCCCCACUGGGGCCCGUCAGGCCUCCUGAUGCACAGCAACCAUGGGUGUGCUAGGGUCCCCUCCUGUGCUGGGGGCCCCUGGGUUUGCCCUCAGAACCCCCUCUGCCUGCCCCACCCAGGUCCCCUCCUCCUUGGUCCCUGAAGAAAGAUGGGCCGCCUCCCCCGGGGCAGCCCUGCUGGAAGGAGGAAGUGCUGUUACCAAGGCCCUUCUCAGCCCCGUCUCCACUGCAGAACAAGCGGCCUCCCACCCUGGAGUCGUUUUCUGUGUGGCGGGUAACACGCCACACUUUUGUCGUUUUACGGUUUCCUCUCUUGGCAGAAUCCAAAAUGCUUUCACAUCUGUCAUCUCGUGGGACGGGAGACAGAGGAGGCUCUGGGGCCCGAGACGCUGGACUCCAGCCCUGCCUUGUCCCUCCCUUGGGGAGCAGUGUGACCUCUGAUGCCUCAAGGGCUUCGUCUCCUAAGCACUCGCCUCCUCAGGGGUCACAGAGUCAAAUGCCAGAGCUCGGUGCCCAUCGCGUGCGGCACCUGCAUCCUGAGCCAUUCCGCCAGCUCACGUCCCUGAGAGGCAGCGGGUGGCCACCAAUGGGCAGUGGUGACCUGGGAAGACCUGUGGGUUUUGGGGUUCAAGGGUGGCAUGAACAGGUCCCACCUGCGCCUUUGCAGGCAGGCCGGCCAGUGGGCUUGAUUUUCCUUUGCAAAGUUCACUCAACCCAACUUUUCUCACUCCUCCUCUGUUCCAGGCAGACACUGGGAGCCCAGACAGGAAUAAAAUGGUCCCUUGUGCAGAAGGGAUGUAUGAACAAAGGACAACACACUGUAAGAAGGAUAAUGGACGAGGGGGCGAGUGAGCGGGCGCUGGAGGGAUCAGCAGGAGUUCGUUAGAUCAGGAGGGUUGUGCAAAGGACAGAGGGCAUUCCCGGCAAAGGGGCCGGCAGGUGCAAAGGCGUCGCCGUGGGAAACGUCCCGGUGGUUGGGGCAUCGGGGUUGGUGUUUGGGAUGACCGGCCCGGCAGGGCUCCCGUCGCAGAGAAGCAUUCAAGGAUGCCAGGCACCUGCCCUGCUGGUCAGCCCCAGAGGGUCAGAUCAGGCCAGGCUUCACCAUUUAGAGGGCAUAUGAGUGAACUCAGCAGUAUGGCCAGAUGUGCAUCCUCGUGCCCAGGGAGCAAGGCGGUCCUGAGGCUUUUCUUGGUUGGAGUUGAGGGUACGUGUCACCCACAAACUCAGAGGUGGUCCUGGAGACGUGGUCACUGUGAUCGUGCUGGCGCCUGGGAUAGAGAUGCUAAGUGCCAAGCACAGAGAGGAGAUGGACAGGCCUUCAAUGCCCCCGUCACAGAGCAACUGAUGCCCUAACGGGGGGCGUUCGAUGUGCUUAACGGGCCGUAGAGGAGGGGCAGCCAGAAGGCAGGAGCAGGGCGUAUUGUAAGGAAGGCGUCUAAGCCAGAUGGUGAGAAGAAGCGUGAUGAUAGCUAAUGAUUACGGAGCGCUUAUCGUGUGCCAGGCACGGCUCGAAGCGUUUCAUAGGGAUUGACAUUCCGCCUACACAACAGUGCUCCGAGGCAGGUGCUGUUAGCAUCCUUAUCCUUACAGAUGAGGAGAAUUGAUGCACAGAGAGGCUGAGUAACUGUCCCAGGCACACACAGCUGGCAAGUGGCCUAGCCAGGCUCAUCCUGCGCCGUCUGGCCUCAGAGCCCACCCUCGAAUGACCUAGUGUCACCUAAACAGUAAGCCCUCGCCAAGAACUGGGACAUGUCUGACUCGUUCGAGCACACAGUAGGUCCUCGCUGAAAAUGUGUUCGCUCGUGAGGAAGCACACAUGCACGGAUGCAUCGAGUCCUAAAGCACUGGGACAGGACAUGGGAUGGGGACAGACAUUGCGGACAGGAGGUGCCCCUGGAGCAGGGGCCUCCAGGACCCGCGCUGGGAGUGGCCUCUGGGCCCUGGACUGAGCGCUGGAGGCUGGGGGGACCUGGUGAGGAAGUGAGGACGCAGAGCUUGCUUUUUCUUUUUCUUUUCGGGUCACACCCGCAGCAUAUGGAAGUUCAGAGGCUGGGGGUCAAACUGGAGCUACAGCUGCUGGCCUACGCCACAGCCACAGCAACACCAGAUCCGAGCCCUGUCUGCAGCCUACACCACAGCUCACAGCAACGCCGGAUCCUUAACCUGCUGAGCAGGACCAGGGCUCGAACCCAACAUCCUCGUGGACACUGGUUGGGUGCGUUUCCGCUGAGCCACCUGGGAGCUCCCAAGACGGCAGAGCUUGCAAGGCAGCCUCCUGUUCCGAAGACCUGGCACCUGUCCUCCUCUCCCUGCAAGCCUUUCCCACCCAACUUGUCCCACAGGGAGACAGGGGGGCACCGUGACCGUUGUGUCCCCAUACCUCUGUGCGUCAUCCAUUCUUUCAAAGCCUCCCAAAGGCCAAUCUGGGAACAGGACCAUAAGCUCCCAGAGGUGGCGGAGGCCUGCAUCACCCAAGAGGGGCUCGGGAAAGACAGCUCGAAACAUGCUCCCGUACGAGCUGGCUUUCUGAAUGCCUGAGGCUUCGGAAAGCUGGUAGAUGUCAGAGACCCUUCCUCCCAGCUCCGUGGGCUGUGGAUGGGACACCAGGGCUGGCACUUAGCUCUGUGGCUUCCUAGCUGGGUGCCGUUGGGUGAGUCGAUUCUAAGCCUCCGUUUCCAUCUCCGUACGUGGACAGAAUGAAAGUGGGCAAGGUUAGGGGAGACUCCCAUUCGGAAUGAGGCUCAGUGAGAAGGCGUUUGUCAGCUGCCUGCUUUGCUGCCAGGGCCUCAGUUUCCUCCAUAAAAUAAAGAUGCGGGGGAGGCUGAUUUUUAAUGCCAGGGCUUUUGACCUCCUAGGAUUCAAACCUGUCCACAUCAUUAGACUAGAUAUACAGACGUAUCACACUUCUGUGCUAUACGCCUCUAAAUGUAUAUGAUUUCAUCACUUUGAUAAAUUCAAAGGUGUACUAAGUUAUAUUUCCUAUGAUUACAAUUAUAAGCACACGGUUGGGAGUUCUCUCGUGGCACAGUGGGUUAAGGCAUCGGCAUUGUCACUGCGGCGGCUCGGGUCCCUACCCCAGGAACUUCCAAUUGCCAAGGGCAUUGCCAAAAAAUAAUUGUGUGUGUAUAUCUACACACACACACACACACAAAUAUAUACACAUGUAUAUACAUAUACAUAAUCGACAGCAUCUUUCGUUGUGUUUUCUUCUGGUUGAAAAAGUAAUACUGACUGGGAACGUUUUGGAAAAUACAGGAAAAGAAAAAACCCACCUACUCUUCCGCAUUGGACACAUUAUCUCUGAUACUUUGCGAAUUCCUCUCCUACCAUUUUUCCUCUGCACACACAGAUUUUUUUAUAUUUAAAAAAAAAGUGUAUUUGGGAUUAUACUCUGUCUCCUAUUUUUUAACUCAAGCUGAGCCGCUGAACCAGGUCUCUGGGUAGGGCUGUCGUCUCUGUGCCCAAGAUGAACCGGAGGCAGCUGCGGCCACAGCUGUCCUGGGCCCGCUCUCCGCUCCUGCCCGGGCGGCCGGCUGCAGGCCUCUGACCUUCGGAUGGUCUGUGUCUCUGGCAGCUGCCCGUUUUCCGCUAAUUUUAGCUCAGCCUCUCAGGCCCGCCGGCCGCGGGGGCCACACAUAAUGGACGCCUUAUGUAGACACAGCUGCCAGGGGUGCAGGAAGGAGUGUCCCACCUGAAAAUGUUCUCUGCUCUCGGAGAACAAGCCGGCUCCCUGUUCCUCCCUUCACCAGGAAGGGGCUGUUGUCGAUGCUCCCAGCCCAGCAGGCUGGACCUGGCGGGCAGGUGGCCCCCCAAACACACGGGCAAUUGCUUCUCUGCACGGGGCCGUGUUUUUACAGGACAGGCUUGAAUUGGAGCUGGAAGAGCUGACAGAGACUUCCCGAGAGAUUGCUGGGUGGUGGGUUUGCAGCAGGGCAGCUGGGGGUCCGAAGCGCCCCUGGGUGUGUAUGGAGAGCCUUCCUCCAGCCCCUACCGCAAGGCUUGACCUUAGACAAGGAUGUGCACACGUGCAAGGCCCGUCGCCAUCCCCUUUCGUCCUGAUGCCAGCCCUGUGUCUUGGGGGACAGAAUCCCCAUUUUACGGGCCAGGGAACUGAGGCUGAGAUGGAGACGUCAUUUGCUCAAGGUCCCCCAGACUAUCGGUAGGCGGGACUCGGACGUGAACGUGGGUCCCUCUCAGCCUCCGUCCGGGGCUCUUUCUCCUCACUGGCGCCACACAGGUGAGCGGUUCAGCCGGCUCGCAUCCAUCUGCUCUGUGUUCCCUUACGUUUGGUGCCGUUUUUCCAAAAUGGAGAGACUUUAAUGUUCACCUUAAAAACCGUACACGUUUAUUGAAAAGAAGCACAUACCCAGUUGGUCUGUUUCUAAAGCACAAAUCUGAUGGUGGGAGAUUCUCGCGUCGAAAGGCAGGACGACUCUCUUUGUCCACAGGGCUCAGUCCGUGCACCUGCGCCUGGCAUCUAUAACCCUCACGGCUUUGCUCCCACUGUCGCGCAGUCCAGGCUCCCCCGGCUCUUGGGUAUCUCUCCUGGGCACCAAGGCAGGGCUGCAGACUUUCUUCCCCACCUGCCUCUGGAGCAGCCUGGAGCCAUGAGGCAGGAACCUGGUGACUCACCUCCAUGACUCUGGGCCACACGGGUCAGACGGUGCCAAGACCCGUAAACCCUCGGUCCUGCACGAGAACCUGGAGCUUUGAUCCAGGCUCUAAGCCGAGGCCUGCCCGGCAGCUGCCGGCCCAAUAAGGAAGUGGCUGCCUGGCUUGGCUCCCGGGAGGGGCCUGCAGGACCAAGGCGAGAAAUGCCAACCCCGGGCAGGCUGGGAGGAGGAAACCGGACGGGCGUCCCCAGAUACGCGCGGGAGACCCAGCCCUUCCCCCACGGCAAACCUCCCGCCUCCCCCUCCCCCUUCCCCAGGCCCACAGUGACACAUCUGCCUGUGUCAUACGCCCCCAGGCUGGACAGGGGCUCUUUGACCCAAGUCGGAUGCUCUUCGGGAACAAUCCACAGGCAUCACGUGCUGCUCUGGGGAAGAGACGUUCUCUAGGGCCUGUCUUGGCUUAGUGAGGGCGUGACCCUCGCUCUCUGAUGCCAGGUGGGACUCAUCUUUGGGCUGCGGCCCCUCAGCCUCUCCGGCUCUGGUGCUUGGGACGUUACGGUGGGAGAGGCAAGGCCCUUCGAAUCCCACAGCCUCGGCUCCUGCCACUGCUGCCGUUUGCUAGCUCAGGGCUCCAUCUCUCUGUGCCCCCGUUUUCCCAUCUGCAAAAGGGGACGAGUGAGACCAGCCCUUCAGGGCUUUUGCAUCCCGCAGGAAAGUGCUUUUCAAAACUCCUAGCAGGGCAGCAGGCAUAGCGCGAGUGCCUGUGCUCUUUCUUCUGGAGGGUUCUCAAGGCCUCGAGAGCUUCUGAGGAGCACCCCGGGUUGCCUGGGGAGGGUGGAGAUCUCUGGGGAGAGGAGUGGGGCAGGGGGCAGGCUGCACAUGGCACAUCCGCCUAGCAGCCGUCACGUCUCUGAUUCUGACAUGGUCUUGGAAAUUUAGCCAAAGACAAACCAUUUGUUUUCCAAUGAAAGCCCGGGGAAAAGUGGAUUUUUAUAAUAAAAUUAUUUUACUGCACUUUCAGCUCUAGGAAGGAGUCUUUCAUGGAUUUGUCCAUUCAUUUAUUCAUUCACCCUACAAAUAUCUUCAUGGCCUUGACUACCUGCCAGAUGGGGCAAGAGAUGGACAAACAGGACAUGCGGGGACCUGUCAAUUGUCAUUCAGGGUGAAAAUGUAAGAAUGACCCGGGAAAGCCACAGGGUUGGGGAAGGGCAUGGCCAUUUCCUGCUGGGUUGGUUGGGAAAGGUUCCAUGGAGAAGGUGGGGCCCAGACGAGCCAGUUAGGAAGCACAGGGGGCAAAGACCCCAGUCCCCAAAGAAAGAGAAGCAUAAAAUUCCAGGAAUAAAUGCAGGAUGUCAUUGUGAAUUAUUCUGUAUGUUAAAUGAAAUCCCAAUCAAAAUCCCAGCAAAUUUUUUCAUAAAGUGAUUAUAACAUAUACAUCUGGAGGAAUUCCCUGGUAGCCUAGUGGUUCAGAAUCCAGCAUUGUCACUGCAGUGGUGCAGAUUUGUUCCCUGGCCCAGAAGCUUCUGCACGUCAUGGGUGCAGCCAAAAAAAAAAAUUACAUCUGGAAAAUAAACAUGAAUGAAUAGCCGAAAAAAAUUCAGUGAUGGUAAAGGAAUCGGCACCCACAGCAGAUGUGAGGGAGUGUGAUGUCUAGAAUUAGAAAGAAAAAGCCUAGAUGAUUCCUAACGGGCUCUAAGGAUGACCAGUCGGCUAUUUGUAGAAGGGAAAAAAAAAAA
RNAcentral lists this long non-coding RNA (6584 nucleotides) under Sus scrofa (pig). Its description in RNAcentral is "lncRNA (ENSSSCG00175039075.1)". The record is from RNAcentral. Lineage: Eukaryota; Metazoa; Chordata; Mammalia; Artiodactyla; Suidae.